UACGUAGGGUGCAAGCGUUGUCCGGAAUUAUUGGGCGUAAAGAGCUCGUAGGCGGUUUGUCGCGUCUGCUGUGAAAACUCAGGGCUUAACCCUGAGCCUGCAGUGGGUACGGGCAGACUAGAGUGUGGUAGGGGAGAUCGGAAUUCCUGGUGUAGCGGUGGAAUGCGCAGAUAUCAGGAGGAACACCCGUAGCGAAGGCGGCACUCUGGGCCGAUACUGACGCUGAGGAGCGAAAGCGUGGGGAGCGAACAGG
This 253-nucleotide ribosomal RNA is filed under the name uncultured bacterium. Its description in RNAcentral is "partial 16S ribosomal RNA". It matches the Rfam family "Bacterial small subunit ribosomal RNA", at positions 524 to 776 of the family's 1533-position model. The record is from RNAcentral.